GACGAACGCUGGCGGCGUGCUUAACACAUGCAAGUCGAGCGGAAAGGCCACUUCGGUGGUACUCGAGCGGCGAACGGGUGAGUAACGCGUGAGUAAUCUGCCCCUGGCUUUGGGAUAGCCACCGGAAACGGUGGUUAAUACCGGAUACGACCACUUCUCGCAUGGGAUGGUGGUGGAAAGUUUUUUCGGCCAGGGAUGUGGCUCGCGGCCGAUCAGCUUGAUGGUGAGGUAAUGGCUCACCAUGGCUUCGGCGGGUAGCCGGCCUGAGAGGGUGACCGGGCACACUGGGACUGAGACACGGCCCAGACUCCUACGGGAGGCAGCAGUGGGGAAUAUUGGACAAUGGGCGGAAGCCUGAUCCAGCAACGCCGCGUGAGGGAUGACGGCCUUCGGGUUGUAAACCUCUUUCAGCAGGGACGAAGCGCAAGUGACGGUACCUGCAGAAGAAGCACCGGCCAACUACGUGCCAGCAGCCGCAGUAA
RNAcentral lists this ribosomal RNA (482 nucleotides) under uncultured bacterium. RNAcentral describes it as "partial 16S ribosomal RNA". It matches the Rfam family "Bacterial small subunit ribosomal RNA", at positions 28 to 523 of the family's 1533-position model. The record is from RNAcentral.